GUGCCUGGCUCCCUGUAUGC
This 20-nucleotide small nuclear RNA is filed under the name Arabidopsis thaliana (thale cress). RNAcentral's name for it is "snRNA_05133". Lineage: Eukaryota; Viridiplantae; Streptophyta; Magnoliopsida; Brassicales; Brassicaceae. The record is from RNAcentral.